This 456-nucleotide ribosomal RNA is filed under the name Triticum aestivum (bread wheat). RNAcentral's name for it is "partial small subunit ribosomal RNA". Lineage: Eukaryota; Viridiplantae; Streptophyta; Magnoliopsida; Poales; Poaceae. The record is from RNAcentral.
AUGUCGAACACAGACAAGGAGAUCGUGACGGCAGCAGCGGGAGCACCGAUGCUGAUGAUGGGGGCGUCGCAAUUCCCCCGUCUGGAUCGAGAGGACUACACACUAUGGGCGAUGAACAUGGAGGUCACGAUGAAGGGAGCCGAGCUCUGGGAAGCCGUCGACCCCGGCGGAGCCGAGUACGCGAAGGGCGCGGCGAAGUACCGGAAGGAUCGUCAAGCGUUAACGGCAAUCUACUCCGUCAUGCCGAAGGAUGUGCUGCAACACCUCGUCAGAAAGAACUCGGCGAAGGAGGCAUGGGAGACCAUCAAGAUCCUGCACCAGGGUCAUGACCGUGUCAAGGAAGCACACCUUCAGUCCCUGAUGAGAAGCUAUGAGUGCCUAAAGAUGGAUGAAAGUGAGACGGUUGAUCAGUUUGCCGCCCGUGUCAAGACCCUCGUCAACGGCAUACGCAACUAG